Molecule: unclassified non-coding RNA, 480 nt
Filed under: Hevea brasiliensis (rubber tree)
Lineage: Eukaryota; Viridiplantae; Streptophyta; Magnoliopsida; Malpighiales; Euphorbiaceae
Source: RNAcentral
UUGCCAUAAGGUGGGGCUGGAGUUAGUUCCAAGAGAUUAUGAUAUGGAAUGCUCAAACCCUUUCAGGAAAUUUGACAUCAUCAGCGUUGUUCCUGUGUGUAAGCAUGUAGGAUGUUCUUCAGCAGACGGACGAAAUUUACUGGAGUCAUCCAAGAUUUCUCUUGAUAAAGGAAAGCUGGAGGAUGCUGUUAAUUAUGGAACAAAGGCACUAGCAAAGAUGAUAGCUGUAUGUGGUCCCUAUCAUCGGACUACUGCAAAUGCUUAUAGUCUUCUAGCUGUAGUUCUUUACCACACUGGAGACUUUAAUCAGGCAACUAUAUAUCAGCAAAAGGCUUUGGAUAUUAAUGAGAGGGAACUUGGGCUUGACCAUCCUGAUACAAUGAAAAGCUAUGGAGAUCUUUCUGUGUUUUACUAUCGUCUUCAACAUAUUGAGUUGGCUUUGAAAUACGUGAACCGUGCUUUGUUCCUUCUUCAUUUUAC